CGGGGGCGCGCAGGGCCCUGAGGAGGAAGGUGGAGCUCGGCCAAGGAGGAGCCCGAGGCUGGGCGCAUCGUCCCUGCUAGGCAGACUUCUGACUUCCCUCUUCAUCCUAGGAGCCCGUCUAUGCACCUGUGUCGCGCGUCUCCCUUCUUGUGUGCUAGCCUUAUAUGCGCCAUUGCAGAUUGAAUCUUGCCAGACCCAUCUUCAGUGGAAGAAAGGGAAGUGUUUUGCUUCGUGCAUGGUUAAAUUAUAUUUGUUUUCAUGGCGCGUGCCUGAUGCUUUCUGGUUAUCUUGUCAGGUUUGAAUACACUCCUGUCCAGUUGCCAUCUGAUAAGGAUUUCUGAGAUAAUGUGUUAACUUAUUUAUUGGUAAAUGCAGGACGCUGCACUCCGUAAUCCUCAGUGUCAUACUGGUCUUUUUGUAAAUGUAAUUCUCCCUUGUUUUCCUUCUGUAUGCUGUGUUUCUGAUUUUGUGCCAAAAGUGUCUUCGUACUUAUUGUGGCAAGUCAUUAAUUAAAAUGUUCAAUAAAAACUGAUCCCAAGGGA
Molecule: long non-coding RNA, 542 nt
Organism: Tyto alba (common barn owl)
Lineage: Eukaryota; Metazoa; Chordata; Aves; Strigiformes; Tytonidae
Exons: 2
Source: RefSeq, a predicted model, not a curated record